Molecule: long non-coding RNA, 598 nt
Organism: Pleuronectes platessa (European plaice)
Lineage: Eukaryota; Metazoa; Chordata; Actinopteri; Pleuronectiformes; Pleuronectidae
Exons: 3
Source: RefSeq, a predicted model, not a curated record
UAAAAAAAAAUAAAUAAAUAAAAAAUCGAAAAAAAAUCGACUUUCCGACGGUCCUUGAACGCCCCUCAUUUACCGCACGAGAACAGAGCAACAAGUGCGUCAGUACACUUCAGCAGCCAGUCUCUCACUGUUUACAACAGAGAAUUAUAACGACAUCUGCUGUAGAGUCCCAACCCCCUGGGACCUGCAAACAACAAUGUCACAAAGAAGGAUUUCAAUGUUUUUUGCUCCAAAAGUGGUUGGCAGCCAAGGAGGUAUGAUAGCAGAUAAGGAUGCAGUCAGGGUUCAUGCAGGAGACCAAAGGGAGGAGAGUGCAAGUUCAGGUACCUGUAGGCUAUGUUAAGAGUGUCUAUGUAACAAAGUCGACCUGGUGAAUUCCCUCUCAGUAUAAAAAGAGGUAAAGACCUCCCACUUGCGCCAAAAAAUAGGUCGUUUUGUCCUUGGCAUAACUAAUAGCACACACGUUUAUUUGGUGGUCAAUUGUGGUCGCAAAUCAGAGGACCUGGUUUCGAGACCAAUGAAGGCAAACUAGCAGGAGGAAGCAAUACUGACGAGCAACACAAUGACACUACUUACAUGUAGUAUUUAACAUAUUUUA